AAAAAUGAAGCAUUUUUAAUGCGGCGUACUGUAAAUACGAAGAAGGGUAAACUCCCCGUUUUUA
This 64-nucleotide transfer RNA is filed under the name Pedicinus obtusus. RNAcentral's name for it is "tRNA-Tyr". The record is from RNAcentral. Lineage: Eukaryota; Metazoa; Arthropoda; Insecta; Psocodea; Pedicinidae.